UAGGGAAUCUUCGGCAAUGGACGAAAGUCUGACCGAGCAACGCCGCGUGAGUGAAGAAGGUUUUCGGAUCGUAAAACUCUGUUGUUAGAGAAGAACAAGGACGUUAGUAACUGAACGUCCCCUGACGGUAUCUAACCAGAAAGCCACGGCUAACUACGUGCCAGCAGCCGCGGUAAUACGUAGGUGCAAGCGUUGUCCGGAUUUAUUGGGCGUAAAGCGAGCGCAGGCGGUUUCUUAAGUCUGAUGUGAAAGCCCCCGGCUCAACCGGGGAGGGUCAUUGGAAACUGGGAGACUUGAGUGCAGAAGAGGAGAGUGGAAUUCCAUGUGUAGCGGUGAAAUGCGUAGAUAUAUGGAGGAACACCAGUGGCGAAGGCGGCUCUCUGGUCUGUAUCUGACGCUGAGGCUCGAAAGCGUGGGGAGCAAACAGG
RNAcentral lists this ribosomal RNA (428 nucleotides) under Chloroflexota bacterium. RNAcentral's name for it is "Chloroflexi bacterium partial 16S ribosomal RNA". It matches the Rfam family "Bacterial small subunit ribosomal RNA", at positions 355 to 776 of the family's 1533-position model. The record is from RNAcentral. Lineage: Bacteria; Bacillati; Chloroflexota.